Molecule: ribosomal RNA, 465 nt
Filed under: uncultured bacterium
Lineage: Bacteria
Description: partial 16S ribosomal RNA
Rfam family: Bacterial small subunit ribosomal RNA
Source: RNAcentral
GACGAACGCUGGCGGCGUGCUUAACACAUGCAAGUCGUACGGUAAGGCCCUUUCGGGGGUGCACGCUUGGCGCACGGAUGGGUAACACGUGAGUAACCUGCCCACCCCUGUCGUAUAACUCAAGGCAACUGGCUCGAAUACUGAACAUGUGCCCCUGCUGCAUGCAGGGGGUUGGAAAGCUCCGGGGGGUGUGGAUGGACUCGCGGCCUAUCAGCUUGUUGGUGGGGUAGUGGCCUACCAAGGCGGCGACGGGUGGCCGGCCUGGGAGGGUGAACGGCCACAAUUGGACCGGGGUGAGGCCCAGGCUUCUACGGGAGGCAGGAGGGGGGAAUAUUGGCCCAAUGGCGCGAGCCCGAUGCAGCAAAGCCGCGGUGGGGAAGACGGGCUUCGGGUUGGAAACCGCUUUCAGCAGGGACGGAGCUGUGUGUGACGGUACCUGCAGAAGAAGCACCGGCUAACUACGUG